RNAcentral lists this ribosomal RNA (253 nucleotides) under uncultured bacterium. RNAcentral describes it as "partial 16S ribosomal RNA". It matches the Rfam family "Bacterial small subunit ribosomal RNA", at positions 524 to 776 of the family's 1533-position model. The record is from RNAcentral.
UACGAAGGGAGCUAGCGUUGUUCGGAAUCACUGGGCGUAAAGCGUGCGUAGGCGGCUUCUCAAGUCAGGGGUGAAAUCCCAGAGCUUAACUCUGGAACUGCCUUUGAAACUGUGAAGCUAGAAUGUGAGAGGGGAUGGCGGAAUUCCUAAUGUAGAGGUGAAAUUCGUAGAUAUUAGGAGGAACACCCGUGGCGAAAGCGGCCAUCUGGAUCACAAUUGACGCUGAUGUACGAAAGCGUGGGUAGCAAACAGG